RNAcentral lists this ribosomal RNA (433 nucleotides) under uncultured bacterium. RNAcentral describes it as "partial 16S ribosomal RNA". It matches the Rfam family "Bacterial small subunit ribosomal RNA", at positions 29 to 507 of the family's 1533-position model. The record is from RNAcentral.
AACGAACGCUGGCGGCAUGCCUAACACAUGCAAGUCGAACGAUCCCUUCGGGGGUAGUUGCGCACGGGUGCGUAACGCGUGGGAACCUGCCCUUAGGUUCGGAAUAACUCAGAGAAAUUUGAGCUAAUACCGGAUAAUUUCUUCGGACCAAGGAUUUAUCGCCUUUGGAUGGGCCCGCGUUGGAUUAGCUAGUUGGUGGGGUAAAGGCCUACCAAGGCGACGAUCCAUAGCUGGUCUGAGAGGAUGAUCAGCCACACUGGGACUGAGACACGGCCCAGACUCCUACGGGAGGCAGCAGUGGGGAAUAUUGGACAAUGGGUGAAAGCCUGAUCCAGCAAUGCCGCGUGAGUGAUGAAGGCCUUAGGGUUGUAAAGCUCUUUUACCCGGGAUGAUAAUGACAGUACCGGGAGAAUAAGCCCCGGCUAACUCCGUG